Arabidopsis lyrata subsp. lyrata is the source of this 1140-nucleotide long non-coding RNA. RefSeq lists it as uncharacterized. Lineage: Eukaryota; Viridiplantae; Streptophyta; Magnoliopsida; Brassicales; Brassicaceae. The record is from RefSeq and is a predicted model, not a curated record. The transcript is spliced from 2 exons.
CGUUAAUUAACAAAAAUAUUUUCUCGGGAGACUUCCAAGAAUCACCUUCGUCACUUGAGAAAACAAUGAAACUGUCCAAUUAAAAGAAAAAAUCCUUUCUUCUUUGUCGGUUUCUCGACGAAUCCCUGUGAAGGUGAUGCCUGAUUCCUUAAACUUCGUAGUCGAUUGGAGAAGAUAUUUGAAGAUUGGGCUACAAAGGCGUCCAUAAAUUCAGAUCCAAACAAAUAAUCAAAGGGAUCAGAGAUCACAACAAAACGAAACCUAAUUUGAUUGAGAAUUCCCUUCGAGAUAAAGUAAAGUGAUGGGUUUUUUGCUUACCGGAGGUGAUGGCUUCUGAGAAAGAUUACUGUGAUAUGAUGUGAAUAGAAGAUCCAAUUAUACCAUAGAGACACAUAAAUCGUCAAUCGUGUUCACUUAAAUAAAUCUUUCUCAAGAAAGGUAAGAUAUUUACAUAGUUUUUGCUUUUGAAAUAAUAGGAAUAAAUAAUGCUUAAUCCGAAAGUGAUUGUUAAAAAUUGUUAGUAAAGGUUAGUAGGAAUGGGAUUUUGAAUCAAUCAUGUUGAAUGUUAGGGAGAAAGAGUUUUAUUUCCGGAAUUUCUAUCUUGCAAACAAAACACAAAGUAAGUAUAUUUUAUAGAUUAUAGGAAACACUUACACGGAGCUGGAAAUGUAGUCUAAGAAGUAUAUAAGACUACUAAAGUCGUAUGUACAAUUAUAAAGAUAAGAACUCAUAAUCUAUAUUAAUCUCUGUCACUACAAAACUUGUUGAAUCUUCUAAGAGUUUCACCGUCUUUGAGAAAUGCAAAAGUAGCAGCUAUUGGGAAGAAAAGUAAGAUCAGCAAAUAUUUGUAAAAUGAUUGGUAGCUGUUGUGUUUGGUGAUGGUAAAUGCUGUUUAGGUGUAUAGUAUUUAUAGGAAAGCUAAGUAGGUUUCGUUAAUUCAUAGCAAGUUAGAAAAAAUAUUCAAUCCCGCAAGAUUUUAGGGAUCAAAUCUUUGAUAUUAUUGUGUGAUUGGAAUAUGCUAGGAUCAAUCGUUUAUUUAAUAUUUAAUUUCUUUCUAUAAUUCGUAAUUAAGAGGAUAUUGUUAGGAUUUUGUUGUUUUGGAAAGUUGCAUUAAGAGGAUAUGCUAAUAUUGACCCGAAA